AUGACUGCGGCAAUGCGUAUGCUAACAUAUGGAUUAGCAGCUGAUGGUGUUGAUGAGUACAUCCGGUCCGCUGAGUCGACUAAUUUAGAGUCUUGCAAGAAAUUUGUGAUCAAAGUUUGUGAAGUUUUUGGGAAAAAGAACCUGAGAUCUCCAAAUGAAGAAGACAUUGCUAGGUUACUUGCAAUAGGGGAGGAAAGAGGAUUUCCUGGUAUGUUAGGGAGCAUAGAUUGCAUGCACUGGGGGUGGAAAAAUUGCCCCAAAAAAUGGCAUGGCAUGUUUAAAGGCCAUGUGAGCGAGCCCAAUAUUAUCUUGGAAGCAGUUGCUUCACAAGAUCUUUGGAUUUGGCAUGCUUAUUUUGGUUUACCGGGGUCUCUGAAUGAUAUAAAUGUUCUUCAACGUUCUCCUAUUUUUACAAAGCUAGCCGAAGGCCAAACUCCUCCAGUGAAUUAUAGCAUCAAUGGCCAUCAGUACACAAUGGGGUAUUACCUUGCAGAUGGUAUCUAUCUACGGUGGGCAACAUUUGUGAAGAGCAUACCAGCUCCGACUAGCAGAAAGCAUAAAACUUUUGCCAAGAAGCAAGAGGGGGCUAGGAAAGAUGUGGAACGAGCCUUUGGAGUUCUGCAAUCCCGUUUUGUCAUUGUUCGUGGACCUGCUAAAGGAUGGAAACGUAAAGAAAUCACUGAUGUCAUGAAAGCUUGUGUCAUAAUGCACAAUAUGAUAGUUGAAGAGGAGCGACAAACUGGUCGGCAAAGCUGCACUUUUGAGGCAAUGGGAGAAAGAGUCACAGUCUCUCGUACUCAUGCGGAAGAACUGAGCUCUUUUAUUCAGAUGACUCACCGGAUUAGAAAUUUCGAUGAACAUGAUCAGCUUAAACUUGAUCUAAUUGGCCAUGUGUGGCAAAAGUUUGGAAACGAGUGA
RNAcentral lists this ribosomal RNA (918 nucleotides) under Triticum aestivum (bread wheat). RNAcentral's name for it is "partial small subunit ribosomal RNA". Lineage: Eukaryota; Viridiplantae; Streptophyta; Magnoliopsida; Poales; Poaceae. The record is from RNAcentral.